This 775-nucleotide ribosomal RNA is filed under the name uncultured Neocallimastigales. RNAcentral's name for it is "partial large subunit ribosomal RNA". It matches the Rfam family "Eukaryotic large subunit ribosomal RNA", at positions 20 to 634 of the family's 3401-position model. The record is from RNAcentral. Lineage: Eukaryota; Fungi; Neocallimastigomycota; Neocallimastigomycetes; Neocallimastigales.
UACUAGAGUAGCACUCGCAUAUCAAUAAGCGGAGGAAAAGAAACUAACAAGGAUUCCCCUAGUAACGGCGAGUGAAGCGGGAAGAGCUCAAAUUUGAAAUCUUAAAGGGUUUCCCUUUACGAAUUGUAGUUUAAAGAAGUGUUUUCUGUUGAGGUUUUGGUAAAAGUUCUUUGGAAUAGGACAUCAUAGAGGGUGAGAAUCCCGUAUUUGACCUUUACUUUCAACUUUGUGAUACACUUUCAAAGAGUCGGAUUGUUUGGGAAUGCAGUCCAAAAUGGGUGGUAAAUUUCAUCUAAAGCUAAAUAUUGGCGAGAGACCGAUAGCGAACAAGUACCGUGAGGGAAAGAUGAAAAGAACUUUGAAAAGAGAGUUAGACAGUAGCGUGAAAUUGUCAAAAGGGAAGCGUUUGACACCAGUGUUGUUUUUCUGAAAAUCAAUUAAAGAACUGUUUAUGCUAAGUUGUUUAGACCUUAUCAGCUAACUGUUUAGUUUUGAGCUUUUCUUUAAUGCACUUUUCAGUUAACAAGUCAACAUCAAUUUCUUUUGCUGUAAAAAAGCUUGAGGAAGGUGGCUUGAGAUUCGUCUUAAGUGUUUAUAGCCUCUUGCCUAUGCAGUCGGAGAGAUUGAGGUCUGCAGCGUAGAUCCUCGGGGCUAAAUGCAUUUGUGCUAAGUUAUAAGCAUUUUAUAGACAACUUGUUGACUAUGAUUUGUCUUGUAGCUUACUCGCUUAUGUUAUUUUACCUACGCUUAGGAUGUUGAUAUCGCGCUCUCACUG